GAACUGACAAGUGGGAUAUGAUAAUGGUACAUAGACUUAAGAAAUGGUAUUGCGUGAACAAAUAGAUUAACGGGAUCCUUUGCUCUAGUCUAAACUCGCAGAUAUCAAAGCCCAAUUUCUAAAAAUUCCAAAAAUUUAACCUUUAUCGAAUUAAACAGCGAUCACAAACUUAAUUUGAUCACACAGCCAAUCACAAAAAUGCUAGAAAACAAAACGCAGCUCCUUCGAUAACAAUGUCAGCAUAAUUCUGUUGUAGGCAUCCAGAAAAUGACCAUGUUUAAUCCUUUUGUUUGGUAAAAGUUAGUUAUGAAUAAGGAGAUCCAAACAAAAUCUUAACAAGCCUAACAGCAUGCAAAUCCAAGAAUUCUAAACCAGAAGUUACAAAUUAGGUUCAUAGUGAAAAAGGAUACUGAAAAGGUAACGCUCCCACCAAUCCAACAUGUAGAGUCCAAAGGUGACAUUGUAGAGAUAGAUCUUGCGUUGAACCCAGUUCAUAUCUCUAAACCCCUACAAAUAAAAAAAUAGAUACCUGCAAAAAUAAUCAGAGUCACCAAAAAUAAUCAAUUCACAAAACAAAUCCAAGAGAAUUAAUAUGAAAAUUCAUGGCCAAAGUGAUUACAAUGAUGAAAUGUGUUGAAUUACACAGCUGAAAUUAUCUCAAUUCAUAAUUCAAUUUCUGUCAGAUGUAACUUCUUUUUGCUCAAUAUAAAAGCCAUGAAGCUAAUAGUCAUCCAUAAUUAACAUAAAGAUGUCAAAAACUCAAUAACUCAACAUCCAAAACUUAUCCAAACCACUUAACUCUCUGGUGCUUUGAACCAAUUAAGAAAGAAAAGCACUUUUUGUUCUUUUUUGAGGAAACAACAACUGAAAUUAUUACCAAACCAUAACAAAGUAAAAUCAACAGCUGUGGAAAUGAAAAUUGAAUAAAAUUUCAGACGUAUCCACAGCGAGGAAGAUCAGGUUCUUUGGAUCAAAUGAAGAUAAAUUUUUAAAGGAUUGAAUGGAGAGAAUUCUGAGGGAAAUUGAAGGAAAUUCUAUGCUAAUUACAACUGAGAAAUAGCUCCUGAUUUCUUGAAUAAGUUACCAGAAAAGAAAACAAAAAGGAAUUCAAAAGCUUACCUAAUCGGUGCACGGGCGGUGGGCGGUUACGUUAAAGGCGGCUCUGGUGAUCAGAUCGACAGUGAAGAGCUUCU
RNAcentral lists this long non-coding RNA (1193 nucleotides) under Theobroma cacao (cacao). RNAcentral describes it as "long non-coding RNA (TCAC_LNC004698)". The record is from RNAcentral. Lineage: Eukaryota; Viridiplantae; Streptophyta; Magnoliopsida; Malvales; Malvaceae.